RNAcentral lists this ribosomal RNA (873 nucleotides) under Triticum aestivum (bread wheat). RNAcentral describes it as "partial small subunit ribosomal RNA". The record is from RNAcentral. Lineage: Eukaryota; Viridiplantae; Streptophyta; Magnoliopsida; Poales; Poaceae.
AUGCAAGAAAUAGUUUGCGGCUGCUCGGGUAUACCGAAAAGAAGUAAUACAAGGUCUUGCCGGUGCGGAUGUCCAGCAAUGAUAAGGUUACUACGCUCAAAGGACAACGGAUGGUAUAUAAGCGAGCACAGGGCAUUCCACAAUCACUCUCUCACAGAUAAGUGUGGACAGAAAAUAUAUUGGCCCUCGCAUAGACAUAUCAACAUUUAUAUACGAGAUGUUAUCAAGCAGCUGCGUGCAAAUAAUAUUAGCAUUGGCAAAGUCUACAACAUAAUUGGCAGUUUCUUUGGCUCCAUGAGCAGUAUGCCUUUCAGCAAGAGAGCGUUGAGGGGGCUUUGUGGACAGAUUAGCCGAGAUCAGGCAGAUGAUGACGUCAGAAAGACAAUGGAAGUUUUUGCUGAAUUGGGAUCCAAAGAUUCAGGGUUGUACUACAGAGUACAGCCAGACACGGACAGCCGCAUACGAAAUCUGUUAUGGUCAACAGGAGCAAGCAGAGCACAGUACCACUACUUUGGAGAUGCAAUAACUUUUGAUACAACAUACCGUACAAACAUGUAUCAUAUGCCAUUCGGUUUGUUUGUCGGAGUAAACAAUCAUUUCCAAAGUGUCAUAUUUGGAGGAGUUUUACUUAGAGAUGAGACAAUGGAAACAUUUGAAUGGGUGUUCACUGAGUUUAUCCGUAUGAUGGGCGGCAAGCAUCCACAAACCAUACUGACAGACCAGUGCAGGGCUGUGGAAUUAGCAAUAGAAAAGGUGAUGUCCAACACAACACAUCGGUGGUGUAAGUGGCAUAUCUUAAAAAAAAAGCAAAAGAAUCUCUUGGAGCACAUUACGCGAAGAGGAGCAAGGUCCGAAUGGAGUUCCACAAGAUAA